UAGAAUUUGGUGUAAUUGGGAGCACGGAGAGUUUUGGAUUCUUAGGAGUAGGUUCAAUUCCUAUGGUUCUAG
Molecule: transfer RNA, 72 nt
Filed under: Bison bonasus (European bison)
Lineage: Eukaryota; Metazoa; Chordata; Mammalia; Artiodactyla; Bovidae
Description: tRNA-Gln
Rfam family: tRNA
About the family: Transfer RNA (tRNA) molecules are approximately 80 nucleotides in length. Their secondary structure includes four short double-helical elements and three loops (D, anti-codon, and T loops).
Source: RNAcentral